Molecule: transfer RNA, 72 nt
Filed under: Priolepis cincta (girdled goby)
Lineage: Eukaryota; Metazoa; Chordata; Actinopteri; Gobiiformes; Gobiidae
Description: tRNA-Gln
Rfam family: tRNA
About the family: Transfer RNA (tRNA) molecules are approximately 80 nucleotides in length. Their secondary structure includes four short double-helical elements and three loops (D, anti-codon, and T loops). Further hydrogen bonds mediate the characteristic L-shaped molecular structure. tRNAs have two regions of fundamental functional importance: the anti-codon, which is responsible for specific mRNA codon recognition, and the 3' end, to which the tRNAs corresponding amino acid is attached (by aminoacyl-tRNA synthetases). tRNAs cope with the degeneracy of the genetic code in two manners: having more than one tRNA (with a specific anti-codon) for a particular amino acid; and 'wobble' base-pairing, i.e. permitting non-standard base-pairing at the 3rd anti-codon position.
Source: RNAcentral
UAGGAGGUGGUGUAGUUGGAAGCACGAAGAGUUUUGAUCUCUUCGGGUGGGGUUCAAGUCCCUUCUUUCUAA